RNAcentral lists this ribosomal RNA (468 nucleotides) under uncultured bacterium. RNAcentral describes it as "partial 16S ribosomal RNA". It matches the Rfam family "Bacterial small subunit ribosomal RNA", at positions 28 to 507 of the family's 1533-position model. The record is from RNAcentral.
GACGAACGCUGGCGGCGUGCUUAACACAUGCAAGUCGAACGGUGAUGCGCGAGCUUGCUGGAGUGGACGUGUGGCGCACGGGUGUGUAACACGUGAGCAACCUGCCCCUGACUGUGGGAUAAGAGCUGGAAACGGCGGCUAAUACUGGAUACGAUAUUGGCAAGCAUGGGCAUGGUUUGGAAAGUUCCUCGGUUUGGUAUGGUCUCGCGGCCUAUCAGCUUGUUUGUGUGGUAAUGGCUCACCAAGGCGACGACGGGUAGCCGGCCUGAGAGGGCGACCGGCCACAAUGGGACUGAGACACGGACCAGACUCCUACGGGAGGCAGCAGUGGGGAAUAUUGCACAAUGGGCGAAAGCCUGAUGCAGCGACGCCGCGUGAGGGAUGACGGCCUUCGGGUUAUAAACCUAUUUCAGCAGAGAAGAAGCGAAAGUGACGGUACCUGCUGAAGAAGCACCGGCUAACUACGUG